Zingiber officinale is the source of this 1889-nucleotide long non-coding RNA. RefSeq lists it as uncharacterized. Lineage: Eukaryota; Viridiplantae; Streptophyta; Magnoliopsida; Zingiberales; Zingiberaceae. The record is from RefSeq and is a predicted model, not a curated record. The transcript is spliced from 3 exons.
UCCCUUUUCCAUACUCCCUCACUACCGUGCCCUACAUCUCAUCACAGCCUUCACUACUUACGCCACCACUUCCUCACCGUCGACGCUCGAUCGCCACUUGAUCUUUCCACUCUUGGUCGCGGACACUAGAUGCUCAUCAGAAGCUGAGCAUCCAAGUCCUCCAUUCUUCCGUGCCCUACUCAUCUACCGUUGUUUCUCCUUGCCGUUGGUUGAAUCGCCAUAGCAUCUUCACUGCCGCUCCAUCAUCAGGUCGCUGUGAGCACAGGCGCUGUCGCCCUUCAUCGGUGCCAAGUCCAAACCGGCGUCGUUCCUCCUCUGUCCAGGCUCUGCAUUACGGUAGCUAUUAUCAAUCCUUCCUUCAUUUCUGAUCUCGGUGACCAUUAUUAUUGUCGAAGUGGUACUUUAGCUACAUCCACCAACGAGCAGUUGUGGCCAACAUUGUAACCGACCGAGCUCUCCCUCUUCCUCUUCUCGAACCAUCACCAUCUCACCCUCUUGUUGCUAUGCCCUGAAGUCCCUACAAUACUCUCUCCAUAUUCAAAGAGGGACGAGCAUCAGAGACAUCCUCUCUUCGGAUUUGGAGAGCAGAACUCUAUUUCCAUUAUAGCAGCAUUUAGAUUCCAUCCUAGAGGAAUUUCGAAUAUGAUUCGUGGUUAGCAAGGGAAGGAAGUAGCGGAUAGUAGAAGAUCAUCGUCUUUAGUUGUAAGCCACUUCCAAUGCCACCUGGUUGCCAAAUUUAGGGACCUUGAUUUACGACGAGCCGCUUGAAGUGGAGAUAGGUUAGAACGAUCAAUAGCUAAAGGCGGGUACCUUUGACUUAUCUUCUUUUGAUAUGAUCAUUAUGAUAUGCAUAGUAUGUUAUAGCUAGUAGUAAUUGUUAUAUUUUAUAUCUGUCUUCGUGUGUCACUACUUGAUACCUGUAGUAUGUCUUCAUUUUUAUCUAUUACGCAUUUAGGUCUAUAUCAUCUUGAUUCUUUCCCUGUGUAUUUAUGUUCAUAGAAGUAGUGUCAUACAAUGUAUUACUGGGUAUAGGACUAGCUACUAGUUAUACCUGGCAUAUGUACCUAGACAUUAUGAUAUCUAGUUUAUUGUUAUGGAGUCAUUAUUCCUUUUGGUACAUAUAAGAUGGAGGCGCAUAUUGUCAGGUGUUACAUGCUUAGUGUCAUGCACCAUCUUACAUGAUUGCAUGUUGUGCGAUUGUCGGCUCCUUUGUAGUUGAGCACAUCGCCAGUUACAUGAUCUGUACACACAACCACUCAUGGGUUAGUGAUAUAUCAAGCAGGGUGUGUGUAGUUGCUUUGUCAGGGCUCUGCUCGGCCGCUCAUGGGUAGUGGUGAUGCAGCGUGGUAGCGGAUAGGGAUCCCUCCUCUUGACUAUGACACAGGGAGAUGAGAGCUUCGGGUCCCCCAUUUAGUUGGGGUAUGAGGAUAGGUGUACUCCAACAGCAUCCUAUCCACUUGGCCACUCAGGAGUAGUGAUGACAAAGUGCAUAGUUGUCAUAACCCUACCCAUUCGACCUCAUGAUCGCGAUGACAGUGGUUGACUGACGUCAGGGGUGAUCAUGUCAUUUGCACCAUAUGCAUGGAUUUUAUUUAUUUGUGUGUGAUUGCUGCACUUUGGAUGGUGCAUUUUGGCGGCUGCAUAUGAUUGACAUGCAUACAAGAGACAUUAUGUAGAUGGCCUGACGAUCCUACAUCUAUUUGUAUGGUUCACACCCUUAUGUCAGGAUAGGAGGUCAUGGUGAGUACAGUUCUUUCGUUGUUCAGUUUGCUUUACCUAUUAUUGCUCAGGAGACUAUACUACAUGAUUAUUACUGAUAGUUAUAUUACUAUGCAUGUCUACUUGUUACCCGCUGAGUUCAUUGAACUCACUCUGUGGAUUUAUUCCUA